This 74-nucleotide transfer RNA is filed under the name Akkermansiaceae bacterium. Its description in RNAcentral is "tRNA-Gly". It matches the Rfam family "tRNA". Rfam says of the family: Transfer RNA (tRNA) molecules are approximately 80 nucleotides in length. Their secondary structure includes four short double-helical elements and three loops (D, anti-codon, and T loops). Lineage: Bacteria; Pseudomonadati; Verrucomicrobiota; Verrucomicrobiia; Verrucomicrobiales; Akkermansiaceae. The record is from RNAcentral.
GCGUUAUUAGUUCAAUGGUAGAACGCCAGUCUUCCAAACUGGAUACCUCGGUUCGAUCCCGGGAUAGCGCACCA